Nelumbo nucifera (sacred lotus) is the source of this 471-nucleotide long non-coding RNA. RefSeq lists it as uncharacterized. NCBI's taxonomy places the organism in Eukaryota, Viridiplantae, Streptophyta, Magnoliopsida, Proteales, Nelumbonaceae. The record is from RefSeq and is a predicted model, not a curated record.
CUCCACGCUGCAACGGCUCUCUCUGCAUGCUUUCUUCUCACACGCAACCCACAAGCUCUCAGGUUUCUUCAAGCUCUAUUGUUCUUAAACGCACAAUAAAAUCUAGGGAAAGCCUCCUGAACUCCACCAUCAGUUUCAUUGAAGAAAACAACGUGGGUAAUGCCGUUGCGUUGUGACCAGCAGCGAUCACACGGAUCACCACUUAUUAAAUCCAAUCUAUCGCACAGAGAGAGAUCAGACGGGUACGUGGAAACGACAAAAUCGCGCUCCCUUCUUUUUUUUUCACCGUAUACAGCUCGGCUCAGGCUUAUUCGUUGGUCUCUUGUUUAUUAUUCCUGAAUUUGGUAAGGUAUGAAUAAAAUUUUACUUCACAAGUUUGGGUAGAGAGAUAGAAGAACAUGUAACUUCUCUUUCUUUUUUUAUAUGAAUGUAAUAGUGAUUUACACACAAUAUAGUACAAUGUAACUUCAA